Molecule: transfer RNA, 76 nt
Filed under: Edaphobacter albus
Lineage: Bacteria; Pseudomonadati; Acidobacteriota; Terriglobia; Terriglobales; Acidobacteriaceae
Description: Edaphobacter sp. 4G125 tRNA-Cys
Rfam family: tRNA
About the family: Transfer RNA (tRNA) molecules are approximately 80 nucleotides in length. Their secondary structure includes four short double-helical elements and three loops (D, anti-codon, and T loops).
Source: RNAcentral
GCACCGAUGGCGAAGUGGCUAACGCGCUGGUCUGCAAAAUCAGUAUUCGCGGGUUCGAUUCCCGCUCGGUGCUCCA